This 433-nucleotide ribosomal RNA is filed under the name uncultured bacterium. Its description in RNAcentral is "partial 16S ribosomal RNA". It matches the Rfam family "Bacterial small subunit ribosomal RNA", at positions 29 to 507 of the family's 1533-position model. The record is from RNAcentral.
AACGAACGCUGGCGGCAUGCCUAACACAUGCAAGUCGAACGAGACCUUCGGGUCUAGUGGCGCACGGGUGCGUAACGCGUGGGAACCUGCCCUUAGGUUCGGAAUAACUCCCCGAAAGGGGUGCUAAUACCGGAUAAUGUCUUCGGACCAAAGAUUUAUCGCUUUUGGAUGGGCCCGCGUUGGAUUAGCUGGUUGGUAGUGUAAAAGCCUACCAAGGCGACGAUCCAUAGCUGGUCUGAGAGGAUGCUCAGCCACACUGGGACUGAGACACGGCCCAGACUCCUACGGGAGGCAGCAGUGGGGAAUAUUAGACAAUGGGCGAAAGCCUGAUCCAGCAAUGCCGCGUGAGUGAUGAAGGCCUUAGGGUUGUAAAGCUCUUUUACCCGGGAUGAUAAUGACAGUACCGGGAGAAUAAGCUCCGGCUAACUCCGUG